Molecule: unclassified non-coding RNA, 153 nt
Filed under: uncultured Ascomycota
Lineage: Eukaryota; Fungi; Ascomycota
Also listed under: 1 other name
Description: sequence contains ITS2
Source: RNAcentral
CAACCCUUAAGCCUAGCUUAGUGUUGGGAAUCUGCUGUAUUGCAGUUCCUCAAAUACAACGGCGGAUCUGUAACAUCCUCUGAGCGUAGUAAAUUUUUAUCUCGCUUUUGUUAGGUGUUGCAGCUCUCAGCCGCUAAACCCCCCAAUUUUUGU